Molecule: long non-coding RNA, 1576 nt
Organism: Manacus vitellinus (golden-collared manakin)
Lineage: Eukaryota; Metazoa; Chordata; Aves; Passeriformes; Pipridae
Source: Ensembl
UGUCCAAUCCCUGUUAUCCCUGUUUCCAAUCCUUGUUUCCAAUCCCUGUUAUCCCUGUUUCCAGUCCCUGUUAUCCCUGUUUCCAGUCCCUAUUAUCCCUGUGUCCAACCCCUGCUAUCCCUGUUUCCAAUCCCUGUAUCCCUGUUAUCCCUGUUUCCAAUCCCUGUUAUCCCUGUGUCCAAUUCCUGUUUCCAAUCCCUAUUAUUCCCAUGUCCAAUCCCUGUUAUCCCUGUGUCCAAUCCCUGUGUCCAAUCCCUGUUAUCCCUGUUUCCAAUCCCUGUUAUCCCCGUGUCCAAUCCCUGUUUCCAAUCCCCAGAGCCGGAAAGCGCCUCGGGAAGCGGAAGAAUUCCCUGGAAGGGGCGCUGGGAUCCGGCUAAAUGACGGGAUAGGAGGCGUAGCUGGCGAUGCCGCAGCGGUUGGCAGCGUUCCGGGCCAUCCGGAUGUAUCCCGAGUCUCCAAACCAGACCCCCCAGCUCCGGGAAAACAGGGAAGAAAGACACGGAAAAAACCUCAAUUCCGGCUUUUCCCGGGCGGAUUCACCGACAUCCGGAUACGGGAGGGGGGUUGGAGUAGAUGGAUCCGUGGGGUUCCCGCUCCCGGGAAUCGUGGAAGGGGGUUAUGGAAUUGUGGGAUGAGCCAAUGGAAUCGUGGGAUGGGGUUAUGGAAUCGUGGAAGGGGGUUAUGGAAUUGUGGGAUGAGCCAAUGGAAUCGUGGGAUGGGGUUAUGGAAUCGUGGAAGGGGGUUAUGGAAUUGUGGGAUGAGCCAAUGGAAUCGUGGGAUGGGGUUAUGGAAUCGUGGGAUGAGUCAAUGGAAUCAUGGAAUGGGUUAUGGAAUUGUGGAAUGGGGUUAUGGAAUCAUGGAAUGGGUUAUGGAAUUGUGGAAUGGGGUUAUGGAAUCGUGGGAUGAGCCAAUGGAAUCGUGGAAUGAGUCAAUGGAAUCAUGGAAUGGGGUUAUGGAAUCAUGGAAUGGGUUAUGGAAUCAUGGGAUGGGGUUAUGGAAUCAUGGAAUGGGUUAUGGAAUCGUGGGAUGAAUCAAUGGAAUCGUGGAAUGAGCCAAUGGAAUCAUGGAAUGGGGUUAUGGAAUUGUGGGAUGAGUCAAUGGAAUCAUGGAAUGGGUUUGGAAUUGUGGAAUGAGUCAAUGGAAUCAUGGAAUGGGUUAUGGAAUCGUGGGAUGAGUCAAUGGAAUUGUGGAAUGGGGUUAUGGAAUCAUGGAAUGGGGUUAUGGAAUCGUAGAAUGGGUUAUGGAAUCGUGGGAUGAGCCAAUGGAAUCAUGGAAUGAGUCAAUGGAAUCGUGGAAUGAGCCAAUGGAAUCACGGAUCUGGGCAAUUCCAAGUAUAAAAUCACGGAAUUCCGGCACGGCUUGGGUUGAGAGGGACAUUAUGGAUCAACAUUCCAACCCCCCUUCCGUGUUCCAAGAGGUCAAGGAGCACCUGAGGGACACAGGAUGAGGGGGGAGGGAGGGGAUUUUGGGGGGACUCUGAUCCCUGUGGGUCCCUUCCAACUGGGAAUAUUCCAGGAUUUCUCCCCCCCCUUGGAUAUUCACCUGUUCUUCACCAGCCAGUAUUCCUUGUUUUCAG